UAACCCACUUGAGGAAUACUCAGAUGAGGAUUUUAUCGGUAGAUUUAGACUUAGUAAAGAUACUUUUGUGCAUCUAAUGGAAACCAUCCGUUUGGAUAUAACCCACCCCACAAGGAGAAGCAGCGCGUUGACACCAGCAUUGCAGUUGGCCAUCACGGUUCGGUUCUAUUCAUGGGGUUCAUUCCAGAAAGCAGUCGGCGAUACACUUAGCAUUUCUCAAUCAGCUUGCUGUCAGGCAAUUCAUCGUGUAACUGACGCCAUUUGUAGUGUGAAACAUAAUUUUGUGCAUUUUGCCUACAACCUUCAAUCAAGGACAGCUGUUAUGCAGGGUUUUUUUGACAUAGCGCAAAUGCCGGGAAUUAUUGGAGCUAUCGAUGGCACUCAUGUUCCGAUUAUCAAGCCUGGUGGAGAUGAUGCUGCACGAUUUAUUAACAGGAAAGGUUGGUAUAGCCUAAACUGUCUGUGAUUCCAACCUGCUUUUCACUAACGUUGUCAGUCGAUGGUACGGGUCAGCCCACGAUUCCCGAAUUUUUGAAAAUUCCAUGCUACGUCAACAAUAUAGAGAUAGGACCAUUAGGGGGAUCCUGGUGGGCGAUCCAGCAUACACAUGCACGUCAUUUCUUCUUACGCCUAUCAGGAAUGUCCAUACUGAAGCGGAAAGACGUUAUAACGUUGCCCAACGUAGGACAAGGUCGGUGAUCAAAAGGGCAUUUGGAAUAUGUAAACGACGCUUUCCGUGUGUUGCAUUUGGCAAUCGACUUCCGAUGUUCGCUACAGCACAACAUGGCUAUUGUGGUAGCUACAGUCUGCCUCCAUAACCUUGCCAGGGAGUGUAAUGAUCUGCUGCCUGGAGACGAUGGUUCAGCUGAUGAAGAUGGACAACCUCAACAUGUAGCCAAUGAAGAGGUUGACGCGAGAGGAGAUGUAUUCAGGCAACGAUACAUAAGACAAAAUUUCAUGUAGGACAUGGCUUCCUCCGCCUUCUUCAUAACACCAGUUCGUCCCUCUGUACCAGCCCUGUUAGAGUUGUCCGAAGAUCGUUUGGUGCCACAUCUGAAAUAACAAACACAGAGAAAGUCUGUUAACAAGUAUGUUAAUGGGCAAUACACUCUAAAAUUAAGAGAUGGAUCGUUGUUAUGUUAGCUUCCCAUAUGCACAUUAAAGCAUACCUGAACCCUCUGCUUGCAGUGUCUGAUUGGGAACUGCCUAGGUAUUUGGCCAUCAAAGGAAUCGCUUGACUGGUUUAUCGGCAAUGGAUCUUGAUGAGAACUCUGGGAUUCACUGAAAGAAGAUUUGUAGUAAUAAUAUAUUAUAAUUUCUAUAUAAUUAAGAGUUGGUGAUGUAUUUCCAUUUUAACAACCAGUGCUAUUUUACUAGUUUAGUAUUGACAAUGUUUAAUACAUGUGUAUAAUGUUGUGAAAUAAUUACACCUCCAUACAUGUUAUAUAUGUUAUUAAUGAUGAUGAUUUUGGAAUAUCUAAAAUUAAUACCUGUUAAUAAUAAAUGAAUAUAUUGCAAUUGGUUGGUUGUUAUUGAAUUUUGACCAAUUACAUUUAGUAGUUAUCUCAAGUUUGAACAGGAUUGCGACUGAUCGCUUGGGAUAGUCGGCUCUAUAUCCUCGGUUUCCAGUUGAGUGGUCUGCUUCCCGGUUGGGGUUGGUGUCUCAUUUGCAGCUGACGAUGGUUGAAGCUCGCUAUCAUCAUCCCAAGUGUUGAAGAACACCUUAAGAUCUUUUUAAAUAAUAUUUAAUAUUAUUAAUGUUUCUUCGUCAACGUCGCCACAAACUUGUUCUCCACCCCCUGUUUUCACUAGAUCUACUUUCUUAUCCCUGGCAAUCGUUUUUGCUUUAAUUUUCAUUCGCCUCCACAACUCCUUAUAGUCCUUUAUACCGCACGACUUUCGAUUAGGGAAUGCCGCUGUCAUUUCUGCACUAACCUCAACCCAUGCUGUGUUUGUUUUCCUCAUUAUUGCUGCGUUGUUACAUUUGUCUUCAAUUAUAUCAGAACGUUCUUUGAUGGCUAGUAUUAUAGUCAUUCUUUCAUCCUCGGAAAAAAUAUCAUUUCGUUUUUUGUCAAUGGCAAUUUUCAAUGUGUAGAACUACGAGGCAUAUAAAAUAGACAACACAAUUUGAACGUGCAACAACACAAUUUUUAAGAGCGGAUCCAACAGCGUGUCCAGGGGUCCGGAUCCCCAACCCUUUAUCCCAUAAUUUUGUUUUCAGAAUAGGAAUAUACUUCGGUGUAUCGUAAUGGCAUGUUUUUGCACCCCGCCCAUCAUUGGAAAGGCUUAUACACGUUCAACGCCUGACAUUCCAUUUACUUUACAUUUUGAAACUUACUGUGGACACCUUCUUUAAUAAUGUAUGGGUUUGUCAGUGAUUAUCUUAGUGUUGGAGUUUC
This is a long non-coding RNA of Gigantopelta aegis, 2399 nucleotides long. RefSeq lists it as uncharacterized. The transcript is spliced from 3 exons. Lineage: Eukaryota; Metazoa; Mollusca; Gastropoda; Neomphalida; Peltospiridae. The record is from RefSeq and is a predicted model, not a curated record.